CCUACGGGGGGCAGCAGUGGGGAAUUUUGGACAAUGGGGGCAACCCUGAUCCAGCCAUGCCGCGUGAGUGAAGAAGGCCUUCGGGUUGUAAAGCUCUUUCGGCCGGGAAGAAAUCGUGUUCUCUAACAUAGGACAUGGAUGACGGUACCGGACUAAGAAGCACCGGCUAACUACGUGCCAGCAGCCGCGGUAAUACGUAGGGUGCGAGCGUUAAUCGGAAUUACUGGGCGUAAAGCGUGCGCAGGCGGUUUUGUAAGCCAGAUGUGAAAUCCCCGGGCGUAACCUGGGAACUGCGUUUGUGACUGCAAGGCUAGAGUACGGCAGAGGGGGGUGGAAUUCCUGGUGUAGCAGUGAAAUGCGUAGAUAUCAGGAGGAACACCGAUGGCGAAGGCAGCCCCCUGGGCCUGUACUGACGCUCAUGCACGAAAGCGUGGGGAGCAAACAGGAUUAGAUACCCUAGUAGUCG
RNAcentral lists this ribosomal RNA (466 nucleotides) under uncultured Thauera sp. RNAcentral's name for it is "bacterial SSU rRNA". It matches the Rfam family "Bacterial small subunit ribosomal RNA", at positions 338 to 796 of the family's 1533-position model. The record is from RNAcentral. Lineage: Bacteria; Pseudomonadati; Pseudomonadota; Betaproteobacteria; Rhodocyclales; Zoogloeaceae.